RNAcentral lists this transfer RNA (75 nucleotides) under Microcoleus asticus IPMA8. RNAcentral describes it as "tRNA-Cys". It matches the Rfam family "tRNA". Rfam says of the family: Transfer RNA (tRNA) molecules are approximately 80 nucleotides in length. Their secondary structure includes four short double-helical elements and three loops (D, anti-codon, and T loops). Further hydrogen bonds mediate the characteristic L-shaped molecular structure. tRNAs have two regions of fundamental functional importance: the anti-codon, which is responsible for specific mRNA codon recognition, and the 3' end, to which the tRNAs corresponding amino acid is attached (by aminoacyl-tRNA synthetases). tRNAs cope with the degeneracy of the genetic code in two manners: having more than one tRNA (with a specific anti-codon) for a particular amino acid; and 'wobble' base-pairing, i.e. permitting non-standard base-pairing at the 3rd anti-codon position. The record is from RNAcentral. Lineage: Bacteria; Bacillati; Cyanobacteriota; Cyanophyceae; Oscillatoriales; Microcoleaceae.
GGUUAGGUGGCCGAGUGGUUGAAGGCGUCGGUCUGCAAAACCGAUUUUCGCGGGUUCAAAUCCCGCCCUAACCUC